Molecule: ribosomal RNA, 444 nt
Filed under: uncultured bacterium
Lineage: Bacteria
Description: bacterial SSU rRNA
Rfam family: Bacterial small subunit ribosomal RNA
Source: RNAcentral
CCCUACGGGGCGCAGCAGUGAGGAAUAUUGCGCAAUGGGCGAAAGCCUGACGCAGCGACGCCGCGUGGAGGAUGACGGCCUUCGGGUUGUAAACUCCUGUCAGUGGGGAAGAGAUAGGACGGUACCCACUGAGGAAGCUUCGGCUAACUACGUGCCAGCAGCCGCGGUAAGACGUAGGGAGCAAGCGUUGUCCGGAAUUACUGGGCGUAAAGAGCUCGUAGGCGGGAGCGUAAGUCUGAAAGGAAAUCUCAAGGCUCAACUUUGGGGCUUUUUCGGAUACUGCGUUUCUUGAGGUUAUCAGAGGAAAGUAGAAUUCCCGGUGUAGCGGUGAAAUGCGUAGAUAUCGGGAGGAAUACCAGUGGCGAAGGCGACUUUCUGGGAUACACCUGACGCUGAGGAGCGAAAGCGUGGGGAGCAGACGGGAUUAGAUACCCCUGUAGUCGG